GAGUCACAAGCAGACACAGGGUUGUUUGUGUUUCUUGUGAUCCGACACAAGAAGACCACCAUCUUCACUGAUGCCAAGGAGUCAAGCACGGUGUGGGAGCUCAAGCGCAUCAUUGAGGGCAUCAUGAAGAGGCCUCCUGAGGAGCAGCUGCUGUUCAAGGACAACCAGCUCCUUGAUGAGAUGAAAACUCUGAGGGAAUGUGGCUUCACUUUUCAGGUAGCAAGGCCAGAGACCCCAGCCACAGUGGGCCUGGCCUUCAGAACAGGAGAUGUCUUUGAAGGCCUGGAGAUCCACCCCUAAUCUUUUCCUCCACCUCUUCCAGACGUGAGGAAGGAUUCUGGAAACAGUGCUAAGGAACAAGAUGUGCAGUGAGGGCC
This is an RNA transcript of Mus musculus (house mouse), 377 nucleotides long. It is a transcript of the gene named RIKEN cDNA 2210409E12 gene, with no coding region annotated. The transcript has a single exon. Lineage: Eukaryota; Metazoa; Chordata; Mammalia; Rodentia; Muridae. The record is from RefSeq and is marked provisional.